Small nuclear RNA from Protopterus annectens (West African lungfish), 157 nucleotides. RefSeq annotates it as U1 spliceosomal RNA. The record is from RefSeq and is a predicted model, not a curated record. Lineage: Eukaryota; Metazoa; Chordata; Ceratodontiformes; Protopteridae. The transcript has a single exon.
AUACUUACCUGCCAGGGGGAAUACCACGAUCAAGAAGGUGUUUUCCUCAGGGUGAGGCUCUUCCUUUGCACAUUUCGUUUGGGUUAAUAAGGGUCUUAGAACCUGAAAGUGCUUAUCUAUUAUUUCUUUUAUGCUUUUACUGAUGGAAUGAACAGUU